GAUGAACGCUGGCGGCGUGCUUAACACAUGCAAGUCGAACGGAAGGGCCGAAGCUUGCUUCGGUACUCGAGUGGCGAACGGGUGAGUAACACGUGGGUGAUCUGCCCUUUACUUCGGGAUAAGCUUGGGAAACUUGGUCUAAUACCGGAUAUGACUAUCUCUUGGAUGGGGUUGUGGAAAUCUUUUUCGGUAUGGGAUAAGCUCGCGGCCUAUCAGCUUGUUUGUGGGGUAAUGUCCUACCAAGUCGUCGACGGGUAGCCGGCCUGAGAGGGUGUACGGCCACAGUGGGAAGGAGAGACGGCACAGACUACGAAGGGAGGCAGAAGUGGGGAAUAUUGGACAAUGGGAGAAAGCCUGAUGGAGAGAAGCCGCGUGGGGGAUGACGGCCUUCGGGUUGUAAAAACCUUUGGCAAUCGACGAAGACUUUUGGUGACGGUAGGUUGAGAAGAAGCACCGGCUAACUACGUG
RNAcentral lists this ribosomal RNA (468 nucleotides) under uncultured bacterium. RNAcentral describes it as "partial 16S ribosomal RNA". It matches the Rfam family "Bacterial small subunit ribosomal RNA", at positions 28 to 507 of the family's 1533-position model. The record is from RNAcentral.